RNAcentral lists this transfer RNA (67 nucleotides) under Furcilarnaca wufengensis. RNAcentral describes it as "tRNA-His". Lineage: Eukaryota; Metazoa; Arthropoda; Insecta; Orthoptera; Gryllacrididae. The record is from RNAcentral.
ACUUAAAUAGUUUAAUUUAAUAAAAUAUUGAUUUGUGGUGUCAAAGAUAUGUUGUGCAUUUUAGGUU